UAACCUGCUAAAAAACCCGGCCGGCUUUUGGUGGUCGCCGGGUUUUUAGGAGGGACUUUAGCGUCUAACCGAAGGAAAUUUGAGGCCAAAACCAGUUUGGGAAGCCCUUAGAAGUUUUGGGCCGCCCGCGCGGUACCAUGACAGAACCAACGAGUUUUUUUCCUUGGCCGGAAGGUCUGGGUAAUCUUGUGAAACUUUGUCGUGCUGGGGAUAGAGCAUUGCAAUUAUUGCUCUUCAACGAGGAAUUCCUAGUAAGCGUGAGUCAUCAGCUCGCGUUGAUUACGUCCCCUGCCC
This 294-nucleotide ribosomal RNA is filed under the name uncultured fungus. RNAcentral describes it as "partial 18S ribosomal RNA". It matches the Rfam family "Eukaryotic small subunit ribosomal RNA", at positions 1344 to 1658 of the family's 1831-position model. Lineage: Eukaryota; Fungi. The record is from RNAcentral.